UGGGGAAUAUUGGACAAUGGACCAAAAGUCUGAUCCAGCAAUUCUGUGUGCACGAUGACGUUUUUCGGAAUGUAAAGUGCUUUCAGUUGGGAAGAAAAAAAAUGACGGUACCAACAGAAGAAGUGACGGCUAAAUACGUGCCAGCAGCCGCGGUAAUACGUAUGUCACAAGCGUUAUCCGGAUUUAUUGGGCGUAAAGCGCGUCUAGGUGGUUAUGUAAGUCUGAUGUGAAAAUGCAGGGCUCAACUCUGUAUUGCGUUGGAAACUGCAUGACUAGAGUACUGGAGAGGUAAGCGGAACUACAAGUGUAGAGGUGAAAUUCGUAGAUAUUUGUAGGAAUGCUGAUGGGGAAGCCAGCUUACUGGACAGAUACUGACGCUAAAGCGCGAAAGCGUGGGUAGCAAACAGGAUUAGAUACCCUGGUAGUCCACGCCGUAAACGAUGAUUACUAGGUGUUGGGGGUCGAACCUCAGCGCCCAAGCUAACGCGAUAAGUAAUCCGCCUGGGGAGUACGUACGCAAGUAUG
This 525-nucleotide ribosomal RNA is filed under the name uncultured bacterium. RNAcentral's name for it is "bacterial SSU rRNA". It matches the Rfam family "Bacterial small subunit ribosomal RNA", at positions 355 to 896 of the family's 1533-position model. The record is from RNAcentral.